RNAcentral lists this ribosomal RNA (446 nucleotides) under uncultured bacterium. Its description in RNAcentral is "partial 16S ribosomal RNA". It matches the Rfam family "Bacterial small subunit ribosomal RNA", at positions 354 to 796 of the family's 1533-position model. The record is from RNAcentral.
GUGAGGAAUAUUGGUCAAUGAGCGCAAGCCUGAACCAGCCAUCCCGCGUGCAGGAAGACGGCGCUAUGCGUUGUAAACUGCUUUUCCAGGGAGAGAAACUUGCGCACGUGUUGCGCAAUUGACGGUACCCUGGGAAUAAGCAUCGGCUAACUCCGUGCCAGCAGCCGCGGUAAUACGGAGGAUGCGAGCGUUAUCCGGAUUCAUUGGGUUUAAAGGGUGCGUAGGCGGACUAUUAAGUCAGUGGUGAAAUCCUGCAGCUUAACUGCAGAACUGCCAUUGAUACUGAUAGCCUUGAGUUUGGUUAAGGUAGGCGGAAUGUGUAAUGUAGCGGUGAAAUGCUUAGAUAUUACACAGAACACCAAUUGCGUAGGCAGCUUACUGAGCCGACACUGACGCUGAGGCUCGAAAGCGUGGGGAUCGAACAGGAUUAGAUACCCUUGUAGUCC